Molecule: ribosomal RNA, 260 nt
Filed under: uncultured archaeon
Lineage: Archaea
Description: partial 16S ribosomal RNA
Rfam family: Archaeal small subunit ribosomal RNA
Source: RNAcentral
AGGGUGUAAACGCUGCAGACUUGGUGUUGGGAACCCUUCGGGGGUGCUCAGUGCCGGAGAGAAGUUGUUAAGUCUGCUACUUGGGAGUACGUCCGCAAGGAUGAAACUUAAAGGAAUUGGCGGGGGAGCACCGCAACGGGAGGAGCGUGCGGUUUAAUUGGAUUCAACACCGGAAAACUCACCAGGGGAGACUGUUACAUGAAACCCAGACUAAUGAUCUUGGUUGAUUUUCAGAGAGGUGGUGCAUGGCGUCAGUGACU